UGAAACGAUAAAAUACAAUAAGUAUAAAAAAGAAAGAUAUCGUAGCAUACUAGAAAAUAGACAAUUUCCAGUAAAGCAUCAUAAAUGUGCUUUACAUUUUUUAAUACAUGGUAGACCUGAUUCUCAAGUUUCUACAGAUCCAAGAAUGUGGAGUGUACAAGCAAAUAUAUUAAGAGAUGGUUUGAUGCAAAAAGGAAUGUAUGAUAAAUAUGUAGUACAUGCUCCGUAUGUAAGUAUGCUAAAUUUUUGUGGUAGCACAGGUAUGAAUACUCACUCCACUUAUGCAUUUCUUAUUGCAAAUAGAAUUUCUGUAACAUUAAAAAAUAUUUUAAAUGAUGACACAUGUGGGUCGUAUGAUGUUUCUUUACAUUCCCAUUGUGUUGGUAUGAACAUAACUAGAAUAUUUUUAACAUUAAAUGAUUAUAUAUGGGAUACAUUAGAUAUCACUCAUAUAAAUUUUGAGUUCGAAUCAGAAAUAUUAGCAAUUUUAGAUGAAAAUUUUAGAUUAACGUUAGAGGAUGUUGAUAUAGUACAAGAUAAAACUAACAUUGAAUUAAAAAAAGAUCAAUACUAUAAGUUUUGUACUCAUUCACUUUAUAAAAAUUAUGUACCUACCGAAAAUCAAAGAUACAAUAUAUUUAAUUUCGAUUAUAUAUUUUAUGAUUAUAAUUUCAAUUAUGAACAACUUAUAAAAAUUAAUUAUGAUGGGAUUUUUUAUACAGACAUUACGUUUGUAGGUCAGGCUAGAGAUGAACAACAUCACAUCUAUGGUAGUAAUGUUGUUUUUGAUGAUAAUGUAGAUCCCAAUUAUGAUUAUAAAAAUGAUAAUUAUGGUAAUUCCACAGAUGACAAUUUUUAUAGCGAAUAUGUUCAUGGAACUAGUACUUCUCAUCGUGCAAAAGUUCUAAGAUCAAUUAAAAGAUUACAUUAUUAUUUAUUACAUAUAAAAAUAAGAUUAGGAGCUAUUACAUCUACAGUACCACCAUUAACUGGUAAUUUAAGUCAUAUGGAAGAUAUUAAAGUAGGUUAUCAAAAAUAUAUAAAAUAUAAAUGUUUACUAAAGGUAACUCCAGAAUGUCUUAAAUAUAAGAAAUUAAAAACAAGAGAUAUGCAAGAAAUGCUUCAUAUGGUAAAUCCACAAAUGUUUUGUACAUUAGCUCUAUGUGAAAAGAUUAAUUAUAAUUAUUUUAAAAACUGUGGUUCAUUAAUUAGUUAUUUUAAUAAAGUAAGUUAUUAUUCAGAUUUGGAUAAUGACGAAAUGAUUAGUAUGCACACAGCUCUAGGUUUAUAUUCAUCUUUAUAUAUGAGAUCUUUAUCUUAUUAUAUUUUAAAUUUUAGAAGUGAAUAUUAUCUUCGUACUUAUAAUAUACCAGUUCAUUUUUCUAAUAUUAAUAUAUCUGAUAAUGCAGGAUUUUUUGAUUAUUUAAAAAAUAAAAACGCCUGUGCUAUUAUUGAUAAAAGACAUUUAGAACGUUUUGUUGCAUAUCUAAAUGAAAUAAUUAAUUAUGAACAAAAACCUAAACCAUUUAUAGCAGAAAGAUAUGUUUAUAAAAAUCCUUAUUUGGAACAUUUUGUUGGUCCUUUUGAAAGUGGUAAUACAAUGUAUAUGCCACAUACUAUCAUAGGAACAGCUAGAUCAUUUUUACUUAUAUAUUCUUAUGACAUAUAUAGACAUAUAGCAACAAAUAGUUUUGAUUUUGAAGUUACAAAUACACAUUGUAAUGAAUAUUAUAAUGAUUUAGAUCCUUUUAUUUAUUAUAAUUGGCUAACUUAUGUGGAUAAUCAAACACACAUGGAUAAUUUGGAUUUUAUGCAUGAUGUUGUAGUUUAUUCAGAAAAUCUAAACAUGAAUUUAGUAGAAAAUAUGUUUGAUCUAUUUAUUUCGUCUCAUUAUGUAAAAGUUUUUAUAUUUCAUAAACUGAAUUUGCAAGAUCAUUAUCGAUUUGUUUUUAAAAAACUUGAAAGUUUUUCAUUACCAGUUACUGGAUUUGUAAUAAAACAACAAACAAGAAAACCAAAAAUAUUUGAUAUAUUCAUACAUAAUGAAUUAACAGAAACAGAACAUGCUGUAUAUGAAUACAUAGGUAAAUAUUCAAAUUUUCUACAAAAUUAUAUAAAUACAAAAGCAUAUUAUAUUAUAACAGAAUCUUUAAGCUUAUUUAGUCAAACCGCUUUUAAAGAUAUAUAUAAUCAAUUUAUAGCUGAAUUAAAACGUGAAAUAAGAAAAAUAUUAUGUAUCUUAAAAGACAACAACACGUUUGACGAAAUUAGAUACGAACUACAACGUGCAUAUAAUUUAAAAAAUAUGUGUAAUGAUAAAGACUUAGAAGAAUAUUUAUACAAUGAAUUAGACACAUUUAGUACUUUCAAAAACUUAUGUAUAAAAACAUUAAGUUCUUAUUAUAUAGAUAUGAUGAAAGCAUAUAUUCAACAUUAUGGUUAUUUAUUUUUUGUUAACCGCGAUAUAUCAUUAUGUACUUUUUUUCAAAAAGUAGACAUAUCUGAUGCAUCAAAUGAAAGAGUACAUUAUGUACAAUUUGUUUUAAAAAGUGUACUAUAUGGUCAAAUCGAAGACCAUUUAAAUGAAAGCAAUAAUAUUGUAAACUCAUGUUUAUUUACUACAGAAGAAUCUUAUAAAUUAUCUUAUAUAAGCUAUUUCUGUUCUUAUAAUCAUCGCUAUAAUUUCACAUUCAAAAAACAAUACGUAUCCUAUGAUAUUUAUAGUGUAAAAUCAUUAAACGAUUGUAAUUUGGAACGAUAUGCUCAUUUUAAAUUAUGUGAAAAUGCAUUUUUAUUAACUAGAUUUUUUAAAUCUAAUUUAGAUGUUGUUAUAUCAGAAUUACACAAAAGGGAGAAAAAACGAAUGACAAAAAUGAAAAAAAAUAUCGAAAAAAAUAUAAAAUAUACAGAUAUUUUUACAUUAAAAAAUGAUUCAUUAGUUACAAUAUUGCAUAGAAACAUUCCAACAAUAAAAGUAUUUUCAAUUCAUGCUUGCUUUAAAGUUUGUAAAAAUUUUUAUACGAAAAAUCCGUUUAUAUUUAAUAACACAAGCGAAAGUAGCACAACAUAUGGAUAUACAAAGAGACAGACAGAGACACAAACGGAUGCAUGCGAACCAAAUAUUUCUACUAACGUAUUCGAAGAUCCUGAUUUUCAUAUGUUCUGUGUUAAAGUACAUUUUCCUGCAUUUACUUAUGCAAAAAUAAUAGAUAGUAUGAAUAAUAUAUAUUUAAGAGGAAUACACAAAUUAAUCAAAAAUAAACACUUUUUAUACGACCUAAACGUAGAUUAUAGUAAUAAUUAUUUAUAUGACAACAUUGUAUAUGUAUUUGAUAAAAUAGCAUAUGUAUAUAAUGAAAAAAUGUUAUAUAAACGUAAUAAUAUAAAUACUGAAACUUUUAUGAUACCACAGACCGUUACAUGGGGUUUCUUUGAUUAUUUAUUAGGAUAUCAUUCACAAACAAAAUUUAAUAAUGAGUUCUUUUUAAGAUCUUUCUUUUAUGAAGAAAAAGUAAAUAUGGUUUACCCUGUUGUAAUGAAUAUUUAUAAUGAUUUUAUGAAACACAUUGUCAUUUUUUUUGAUUUAUUUAAAGUGAUGAAUUAAGUAGUGUUUAUAUAUAUGAUUAUUUUUCCAGG
RNAcentral lists this long non-coding RNA (3636 nucleotides) under Piliocolobus tephrosceles (Ugandan red Colobus). RNAcentral describes it as "lncRNA (ENSPTEG00000004375.1)". The record is from RNAcentral. Lineage: Eukaryota; Metazoa; Chordata; Mammalia; Primates; Cercopithecidae.